RNAcentral lists this transfer RNA (102 nucleotides) under Mycolicibacterium moriokaense. RNAcentral describes it as "tRNA-Ser". The record is from RNAcentral. Lineage: Bacteria; Bacillati; Actinomycetota; Actinomycetes; Mycobacteriales; Mycobacteriaceae.
AUGUCGUCGCGGAUCGGGUCGGACAAGAUCACCCCGGCCUGCUGGGCCGAGGACGUCGUCGCGGUGAUGGAUGCCGUCGGCUCAGAGCAGGCAACGAUUUUC